AGCAGUCGCCGCGGGAAUACGAAGGGUGCAAGCGUUACUCGGAAUUACUGGGCGUAAAGCGCGCGUAGGUGGUUUGUUAAGUUGGAUGUGAAAUCCCCGGGCUCAACCUGGGAACUGCAUCCAAAACUGGCAAGCUAGAGUAUGGUAGAGGGUGGUGGAAUUUCCUGUGUAGCGGUGAAAUGCGUAGAUAUAGGAAGGAACACCAGUGGCGAAGGCGACCACCUGGACUGAUACUGACACUGAGGUGCGAAAGCGUGGGGAGCAAACAGGAUUAGAUACCCCCGUAGUCCCUGUCUCUUAUAC
Molecule: ribosomal RNA, 303 nt
Filed under: uncultured bacterium
Lineage: Bacteria
Description: partial 16S ribosomal RNA
Rfam family: Bacterial small subunit ribosomal RNA
Source: RNAcentral